UUGAGAGGUUCGGUCAGAGUAUGGACCGAGCGACGUGAGGCAUCGACCGCGGCCUAGUCGGCCGGGAUCGGGUCUUACAGUUAUACACAAAUUUGCUUACUACAACUCCAAAUAGUAUGAGCAUAAUCAACGAAUUUGUCAAUCAAUAAAUAUAAUAACAUGCAUGGUCAAAUCCAGGCUGUAGUAACUAGGAUUUGGGAAGAACUCAAGAAUAGAAUUUUCAUUCUCAGAUUAGGAGAGUAUAACUAUCUCCUCCACAUUCAUCAUGAAUCAACCCGUAAAUAGGGGUUGCAAAGAAGAUUGUGGUAUGUUGAUGAUUAUGUCAAUUAAAAUACUUUAUACUAAUAAGAAAAUAUAAAUUAUCAAAAUUUUACUAU
RNAcentral lists this long non-coding RNA (377 nucleotides) under Brassica napus (rape). RNAcentral describes it as "long non-coding RNA (BNAP_LNC011032)". Lineage: Eukaryota; Viridiplantae; Streptophyta; Magnoliopsida; Brassicales; Brassicaceae. The record is from RNAcentral.